Long non-coding RNA from Mesocricetus auratus (golden hamster), 643 nucleotides. RefSeq lists it as uncharacterized. The transcript has 3 exons. NCBI's taxonomy places the organism in Eukaryota, Metazoa, Chordata, Mammalia, Rodentia, Cricetidae. The record is from RefSeq and is a predicted model, not a curated record.
UCCCGGACACAGCGCCUUCUCGUUGUGGGUGCUCAGCCAGAACACGGCCCACCCCACCCAUCCUGUCUCAGGGAGGCCAUUUCUCACAGUUGGGGAGAUUUACCAAAUUAAGUGUGCAGCACCACCCAGCAGACCAACAGCCAAGCAGGGGUGCUUCUCCAGGUACCUGGCAUGGGGGCUGGAGGAGACCGCCCACGGCCGCAGUGCGCACACUCACUCAGCGAUCGGGGCCGAUGCCAAGCAUCAGAACCAAGAUGUCCUCUGUCCCCCACCAAGUGCCCUAGUCCCUCACCCAGUCCCAUACCAAGGGCCCCCCAGGCAGCUUGAAAAUUAAAAUCUCUCUGCCCUGGGCAGGCGACGGCUGACUGAAGGACAGCAUCGCCACCACGUACGUUUCCCAUUUAAGUCAAUUUGGAAAUGCUGAGUGCUUUCUCUCAGGGCAGGCGGCCGAGAGAAGAGGACACGGCACACAUUAGUGUCCCUCUUUCCCGGUGAUGUGGGUCUUAAUCCUCCUGUUACUGCUGUAGCCCUCACGGACCUGGCGUAACCGCAGACUUAAAGACAUGCUGUGUGUUUAUGAAGCUCUCCGUGUGCAGCGAUGUCCCAGCAGCUCCGCCCAUAAGUAAAGCAGAUGUCCACCCGC